AGUGAACGCUGGCGGUAGGCCUAACACAUGCAAGUCGAACGGCAGCACAGUAAGAGCUUGCUCUUACGGGUGGCGAGUGGCGGACGGGUGAGGAAUACAUCGGGAUCUACUUUUUCGUGGGGGAUAACGUAGGGAAACUUACGCUAAUACCGCAUACGACCUACGGGUGAAAGCAGGGGAUCUUCGGACCUUGCGCGAUUGAAUGAGCCGCUGUCGGAUUAGCUAGUUGGCGGGGUAAAGGCCCACCAAGGCGACGGUCCGUAGCUGGUCUGAGAGGAUGAACAGCCACACUGGAACUGAGAAACGGUCCAGACUCCUACGGGAGGCAGCAGGGGGGAAUAUUGGACAAUGGGCGCAAGCCUGAUCCAGCCAUACCGCGUGGGUGAAGGAGGCCUUCGGGUUGUAAAGCCCUUUUGUUGGGAAAGAAAAGCAGCAGGUUAAUACCCCGCUGUUCUGACGGUACCCAAAGAAUAAGCACCGGCUAACUUCGUG
RNAcentral lists this ribosomal RNA (492 nucleotides) under uncultured bacterium. Its description in RNAcentral is "partial 16S ribosomal RNA". It matches the Rfam family "Bacterial small subunit ribosomal RNA", at positions 29 to 507 of the family's 1533-position model. The record is from RNAcentral.